Molecule: ribosomal RNA, 252 nt
Filed under: uncultured bacterium
Lineage: Bacteria
Also listed under: 1 other name
Description: partial 16S ribosomal RNA
Rfam family: Bacterial small subunit ribosomal RNA
Source: RNAcentral
UACGUAGGGGGCAAGCGUUGUCCGGAAUUAUUGGGCGUAAAGCGCGCGCAGGCGGUUCAUUAAGUCUGGUGUUUAAGGCUGGGGCUCAACCCUGGUUCGCACUGGAAACUGGUGGACUUGAGUGCAGAAGAGGAAAGUGGAAUUCCACGUGUAGCGGUGAAAUGCGUAGAGAUGUGGAGGAACACCAGUGGCGAAGGCGACUUUCUGGGCUGUAACUGACGCUGAGGCGCGAAAGCGUGGGGAGCAAACAGG